RNAcentral lists this transfer RNA (66 nucleotides) under Dipodomys merriami (Merriam's kangaroo rat). Its description in RNAcentral is "tRNA-Cys". The record is from RNAcentral. Lineage: Eukaryota; Metazoa; Chordata; Mammalia; Rodentia; Heteromyidae.
AGUCCUGAGGUGCAUAGCAUGUUGAAUUGCAAGUUCAAAGGAGCAGCUUCAAUCCUGCCGGGACUU